RNAcentral lists this ribosomal RNA (451 nucleotides) under uncultured bacterium. RNAcentral's name for it is "bacterial SSU rRNA". It matches the Rfam family "Bacterial small subunit ribosomal RNA", at positions 354 to 796 of the family's 1533-position model. The record is from RNAcentral.
GUGGGGAAUAUUGGACAAUGGGGGGAACCCUGAUCCAGCCAUGCCGCGUGUGUGAAGAAGGCCUUUUGGUUGUAAAGCACUUUAAGCGAGGAGGAGGCUACCGAGAUUAAUACUCUUGGAUAGUGGACGUUACUCGCAGAAUAAGCACCGGCUAACUCUGUGCCAGCAGCCGCGGUAAUACAGAGGGUGCAAGCGUUAAUCGGAUUUACUGGGCGUAAAGCGCGCGUAGGUGGCCAAUUAAGUCAAAUGUGAAAUCCCCGAGCUUAACUUGGGAAUUGCAUUCGAUACUGGUUGGCUAGAGUAUGGGAGAGGAUGGUAGAAUUCCAGGUGUAGCGGUGAAAUGCGUAGAGAUCUGGAGGAAUACCGAUGGCGAAGGCGACUACCUGGACUGAUACUGACACUGAGGUGCGAAAGCGUGGGGAGCAAACAGGAUUAGAUACCCUAGUAGUCC